GAAUCUCUGUGUAUGAAGGUUAGUACUAAUAUUCUUACAUUAUUAAAUCUUUAUCUAUAAUAUUAUUUCACAUGUUUAGUGUAUAAUUUUUUGUCUGUUUUAAAACUUAGCUACUCAUUAUUCUAUGAUUUACAUAGGUAUCCCAUCUCUAAUUUCUCAAUAUGGCUGUUCAAGAAUUUUCCUUAAUAUAGAGUUCAUGGAAAUGAACUUUCAGACAUUGCUGUAAGUUUAACAUUUGACAAUACCUUUUUCGUAGUUUAUUGUAAAACAUGUAAUAAUUAAAUGCAAUAUUAAUAAUUACUUACUAAUUUAAUUGUACACAGGGGUGAACAACCAGAGGUCAAUCCUGAAGAUGACAGCUCCGAUGAGGAAUAAUAAUCUAUUUCUGUAAUUUAAAUUUGUUAAGUAUUUUCCGUUUCAUCAUUAUGUAAGAUAUGUGUUGUUAUCUCAUCCAAGAAAUAAU
RNAcentral lists this long non-coding RNA (463 nucleotides) under Capsella rubella. RNAcentral's name for it is "long non-coding RNA (CRUB_LNC003889)". The record is from RNAcentral. Lineage: Eukaryota; Viridiplantae; Streptophyta; Magnoliopsida; Brassicales; Brassicaceae.